RNAcentral lists this transfer RNA (73 nucleotides) under uncultured Candidatus Thioglobus sp. RNAcentral describes it as "uncultured SUP05 cluster bacterium tRNA-Ala-GGC". It matches the Rfam family "tRNA". From Rfam's summary of the family: Transfer RNA (tRNA) molecules are approximately 80 nucleotides in length. Their secondary structure includes four short double-helical elements and three loops (D, anti-codon, and T loops). The record is from RNAcentral. Lineage: Bacteria; Pseudomonadati; Pseudomonadota; Gammaproteobacteria; Pseudothioglobaceae (SeqCode).
GGGGCCAUAGCUCAGCAGGGAGAGCACUACGCUGGCAGUGUAGAGGUCGGCGGUUCGAUCCCGCCUGGCUCCA